This 853-nucleotide ribosomal RNA is filed under the name Urnula craterium. RNAcentral's name for it is "eukaryotic LSU rRNA". The stretch from base 513 to 666 matches the Rfam family "5.8S ribosomal RNA". The record is from RNAcentral. Lineage: Eukaryota; Fungi; Ascomycota; Pezizomycetes; Pezizales; Sarcosomataceae.
AGUAAAAAGCGUAACAAGGUUUCCGUAGGUGAACCUGCGGAAGGAUCAUUAUUUAAUUGCGAAAGACGGGCUCUAGACACCACAGAGACUGUAGAUGCAUGGGGAGGUGUGGCGGUUGUUAAUUAUCAACGCGAAAGACCAUAAACGCGCGGGUGUGUCACCCCAAGAAGACGCGUCCCUUUGUCCAUGGAAUUGAUUAGCCACGUACAUUCGUCUCCUGGCAUCCAUAGCAGGUGUCCCUGCAACCUGGAAACGUAAGAUACCAGGGGCAGGACGCUGCUUGGUGCCGGCCAAGGCGCUCUAAGGCGAACCACCGGGGUUGGCUACCAUGGCCCCCAUCAAGAGUGCAUCUACUUUCUCCUGGUCUGGGCUCGCCCCUCUCCAUUUAAAUUCCUCUGUGUAUCUUACCUUUGUUGCUUCCCGUCAGGCGUCAGUGUCUCACGGGGAGGAAAGCUCUUAAACUCUGGUUGUAUUGUCGUUUGUCUGAGUGGUCAACACACAAAACAAGUUAAAACUUUCAACAACGGAUCUCUUGGUUCUCGCAUCGAUGAAGAACGCAGCGAAAUGCGAUAAGUAGUGUGAAUUGCAGAAUUCAGUGAAUCAUCGAAUCUUUGAACGCACAUUGCGCCUCCUGGUAUUCCGGGAGGCAUGCCUGUUCGAGCGUCAUCAAACACAUCCUCAAGCAUUAUUUUGCUUGGUCUUGGGAGAAGAUGUCCGCAUCUCCCCUGAAAUUCCUCAGCGGAAAAGCCAUCUCAGUCCUCAGGUGUGAUAAAAUACUGUUCACCUGGUGAUGCUGAGUGGUGCUCCAGCUGUUGAUAGCCCCCCAGCUUUCUCAUGAGUUUGACCUCGGAUC